UGGGAUUGAAAAGUUGUUUCUGGUCUCAAGCUUGAGUUCUGUUUUCUCAGUGGUUGGUUCUCCUUCUCCCGUGUAGGUGUGCGUAGUUAGUCUUUUGGAGCUUUGGUCUCUUCUAUUCAGAGCUUUGUGUUAUCUCGUUGGAAUGGACGCCUUGUAUGUGCUUUUUACUUCUUAGUUAGUAGUUGUGCUUCUGGUGCUUUAGGCAUGUGUCUUGCGAUGACUAUUCUUUUUCUGACCCGUAUUUUUGAUUUUUUGCGUUAGUGUUUGAUCGCAUUCUUUUGUGUUCGGAAGAUUGUUUUGUCUCAUAUUUUAUCUCUUUUUUUUCUGACAUUUGCUUGUUAUAGCGAAGACAUUCUAUGGUAAGAGGAGGUAAGUUAGUAUUCUUUGUUGAUCUUUUUUUUUAUUUUAUUUUUUCUGCGAUUUUGGAAGUUUUAAGUUUAGAUUAGGAGUUGUACUGUAGUUUUUCUUAUUAGUUUGGUUAUUUUAUGAUUUUUAAUAGUAAAAUAAAUAUAUAAUUUGUUAAUAAAAUAAUAUAAAAAUUGUAAAAAAUAAUAAAAUAAUAAAAAUUUAUAUUACUUUUAGCUGUGAACAAAUUAAAUAUUUAAAAUAUUUUUUUAUUCAUCUUGAAUUUAGUGAUCAAUAAAAUAGAUU
This 651-nucleotide long non-coding RNA is filed under the name Brassica napus (rape). Its description in RNAcentral is "long non-coding RNA (BNAP_LNC019916)". The record is from RNAcentral. Lineage: Eukaryota; Viridiplantae; Streptophyta; Magnoliopsida; Brassicales; Brassicaceae.